Cyclopterus lumpus (lumpfish) is the source of this 2379-nucleotide long non-coding RNA. RefSeq lists it as uncharacterized. The transcript has 3 exons. The record is from RefSeq and is a predicted model, not a curated record. Lineage: Eukaryota; Metazoa; Chordata; Actinopteri; Perciformes; Cyclopteridae.
GAAGAAGAAGAAGAAGAAGAAGAAGAAGAAGAAGAAGAAAAAGGCCUCAAAUUCUUCCGUGUUGCUCCUCUGGGUCUCACAGGAGAAAUAUCUGAGCUUUCAUCAGCAGCAGAAACGUGCAACGGGAGGAAAAGAAAACGGGAGGAAGGCGAGGAGACGCGGACGCUCGGAGAGGGUUUUUGUGCAGCCCAACCCGCCUUCAACAACCAAUUACACCGAGUGAGCUGACAGAGGAGACACCGAGAUGAGGAGGAGGAGGAAGAGGGAUGUGGCAGGGGGAAUCUAUGAGCUCACCCUCGAUCAGAUUUGACAAGUGAUGAUCCAAUACAGAUGAGUAUACAUUACUGUGGAGCUUAGAAAUUUAUAUUUGCCUUAAUUUGACUGUGUUUUUUUUGACACUGCUCCCUCCACCAGUAUCAUUUGCUCAAUGAUGUUCUUGAUUACAAACUGACUAAAGUUAGCCUAAGACCCCGAUAGGCUACAAAAAGCCCCAUGUUCAAUGUGUGUCAACUGGUUUGCGGUCAUUUUAAUAAUAUUGGAAUAUAUUUCACCCAAGCACAAAGUCAAGAGACAUGAUAAGGGCCUUAAGGUGGUUCCAGCUUUAAUCUUGAGGCCCCGUCCUUGACGAGGGUCCCUGUAUCCGCCUGGCUCAGACCCUCUAAAGUCCGCCCACAUUUCCAAUUUCUUUAGUAAUGCGAAUACGAUAUGCACGUUGGUACAGCUCUGCAGUAAGUCAACGUACAGGAGUAACAAUUGCGUCGAGCAACCACAAAUGCAGCUUCCGUGUAGACUGAAAGUGACGUUGACGGGACACCUAACACAAACACGCAUGCACUUAAAGGGACAGUGUACAUUAUUUGGUGCCAUCUAGUGGCGUGGUUGCAGAUUGCACCCAACUGAAUACCCUCUUCACUCAGUCCUCCCUUUCCUAGACUGCGGUUAACACAGUUUCACAAGCGUGUCUGAGAACUACGGUGGCCUUCAGGUCGGUGAAAAUCAAAAAGGCUCUUGCUAGAACCACUUUUUGGUUUGUCCAUUCUGGGUUACUGUAGAAAUAUGGCGGCAGUAUCAACGCAGUCGGCUCCGUAAAGAGGACUCGCUUCCUGUAUAGAUAAAAAAAGCUAACAACAAAAACUUAGUUUUAGGAGAUUAAACACUAAUGAAAGAUUAUUUUUGAAUGGUUCGGACCUGUUACAGGAUGUUCUGGCAGACUAUCAUCAGAACUGGAAAAAGGAAAAAACAAUGCAAUAAAACAAAAUGAAAGGAAAGGAGGACAAGAAGAAAGAAGUUACCAAGCACCAAGCAUGUAUAGUAUGUCAGCACCCCAGACAUGGUGCAAAUAGAGUGGACCUUUACUAAAGGGCUCCCUAACAGGUUAAUCUGCUAGUAAACUGUUAAUAAUCUCAAGUGUGUAUUGUUGAUAAAAAAAAUUAAAAAAAUUCUCUGUCUUUUUCAGACAUAUUUUUGUACUUGAGACCUCCUGACCUCUCAGCAAAUAUUGUGGCCUGACUGACGUUCAGUGUUUGAUCCACUGAACGGGACGGAUGAGAUGUGUGCUGAGACACAGAAGUUUGUUUGGCCAGAUCACCUGAUAUGGAGAGAGAUCUCCUCCAUCAUCGGGAUCCCGAGGCCAAGGACCUGCUGAAAUCACAAAUACAGAGGAGCGCAGAGCUUGUCAAAACCCACCGAGGUGCACAGGAGAGGCUGAACAGUCAAUAAAUAAUUACGCACCGAUCAGUGGCUACAUGCAGGACCCACUUGGCCGGUAUGGUUCAGGGUCUGGGUUGUUUAUUAUCUCUCAUGAAACGAUCUGAUAAAGAAUUUAGCUCCUCAGCUCAUAUGUUCCAGCACAUUUGGAUUAACAGCAGACCAAUUGGAGCCAUGUUGAAUCUUUUUGUAUUUCUUUAUGUUUCUUAGAGAGGCACAAUUAUUAGAUAUUCAGAUCAUUGUUACAAGCGACAACAAUACAAUGUCUCUAUAGUGGGAAGACUCUUCUCGGCUAUUUUAAUAAUAAAUUAAAAUGUAACCAAUAAUCGAUGGAAUUGAUGAAGAGAACUAAUACUGCAUGUAAGAGUUUCUUAAAAUGAAAAUUUUUGGAACUUUGAAGCUACUUAAGGCGAUUUUUAAGGAAAACAUCAAAGUUCACGAGAUUAAAAUCGGACUUGUUUUUAAUCAUGGCAUUCCCACCUUUUAUUAUGUGGAAUACUGUAAGAAUUGCUUCACUUUGGAUUCUUGUUCAUAAAAAAUUACUGAACGUGGCCUUGAGAAAAAUAAAUUCACGGGACAUUUUAAAGAGAGGCCGUUCAAUUCCAAUAUUUUAUGUAGCUCAGUGUGUUAAAAUGUCCUUGAUUUAUUAUCCUUUUUUCUUUCUUCUUUUAU